AGUAAUCCUCUUUCUUCAGUAAUCAGCUCCUGUGAAAGACAGUUUGUCUGCAUUUGGAAUUGUAAAAUAUCAAGCCUCUCUCUUGUCUGGAUUAUCUGCGGCUUAUAUUUGGCUAAGUAGUCAUUUAACCCCUUUAGUUGCUACUUAACUGCCUUCAAUUUGCUCCAAAUUUGCUGCAUAUGAGUGCCAGAAUAGACCUUCUCCCAGACUUUUUUCACAAUUUCAUGAAACUGCUCAUGUUCCAUUACAUUGCUAUAAAGUCUGAAAGGUUUAGGGUGGAUUGGCCUAUAUACACCAAAUUUAACUAGAAUAGGGGAGUGAUCUGAGAUAAAUGGAUUCAUGUAGUCAGCCUCCAAGUGCCCAAACUGCUGCAACCAUUGGAGAUUUCCAAAUGCCCAGUCUAUCUUGCUAUAAACUCUAGAGUCAGCAUCUUGC
Molecule: long non-coding RNA, 435 nt
Filed under: Nicotiana benthamiana
Lineage: Eukaryota; Viridiplantae; Streptophyta; Magnoliopsida; Solanales; Solanaceae
Description: long non-coding RNA (NBEN_LNC003161)
Source: RNAcentral